GUGGGGAAUAUUGCACAACGGGCGCAAGCCUGAUGCAGCCAUGCCGCGUGUAUGAAGAAGGCCUUCGGGUUGUAAAGUACUUUCAGCGAGGAGGAAGGCAUUAAGGUUAAUAACCUUGGUGAUUGACGUUACUCGCAGAAGAAGCACCGGCUAACUCCGUGCCAGCAGCCGCGGUAAUACGGAGGGUGCAAGCGUUAAUCGGAAUUACUGGGCGUAAAGCGCACGCAGGCGGUCUGUCAAGUCGGAUGUGAAAUCCCCGGGCUCAACCUGGGAACUGCAUUCGAAACUGGCAGGCUAGAGUCUUGUAGAGGGGGGUAGAAUUCCAGGUGUAGCGGUGAAAUGCGUAGAGAUCUGGAGGAAUACCGGUGGCGAAGGCGGCCCCCUGGACAAAGACUGACGCUCAGGUGCGAAAGCGUGGGGAGCAAACAGG
This 430-nucleotide ribosomal RNA is filed under the name uncultured bacterium. RNAcentral describes it as "bacterial SSU rRNA". It matches the Rfam family "Bacterial small subunit ribosomal RNA", at positions 354 to 776 of the family's 1533-position model. The record is from RNAcentral.